Molecule: ribosomal RNA, 451 nt
Filed under: uncultured bacterium
Lineage: Bacteria
Description: partial 16S ribosomal RNA
Rfam family: Bacterial small subunit ribosomal RNA
Source: RNAcentral
GAUGAACGCUGGCGGCAUGCCUAAUACAUGCAAGUCGAACGAGCUCUUCGGAGCUAGUGGCGGACGGGUGAGUAACACGUUGGUACCUACCCCGAAGUGGGGAAUAACUGCCCGAAAGGGUGGCUAAUACCGCAUAAUACCGUAAGGUUAAAGCAGUAAUGCGCUUCGGGAGGGGCCUGCGUCCCAUUAGCUAGUUGGCGGGGUAAAUGCCCACCAAGGCGACGAUGGGUAGCUGGAUCGAGAGGUUGACCAGCCACACUGGGACUGAGAUACGGCCCAGACUCCUACGGGAGGCAGCAGUAAGGAAUCUUCCACAAUGGACGAAAGUCUGAUGGAGCAAUGCCGCGUGCAGGAUGACGGCCUUCGGGUUGUAAACUGCUUUUAUAUGGGAAGAUUAUGACGGUACCAUAUGAAUAAGGACCGGCUAACUACGUGCCAGCAGCCGCCGCAG